UAAAAGAUCCCAAAUUUCUUUACCUUUUUCUGUAGCAGAUUUAUCAGUCUGCUGAGUCUGAUUAUCUAAUUUAGUAGAGGAAUCAACAGUCCCCUGAGUCUGUUGGGCUUUUGGUAAGUCCACAACCUUUAACGGAUUUGAUGAGUCUUUACCAGCUACCGUUUGGGCUGGACUAGCUAUGGACUUCUUGGGCUCCAUAGUACCUGUUGGAUAAUGGACUUUUAAAUCCAAAAUUUCUUUUUCUAAUUGGGCCACUUUCUUUUGGAGUUGAGUUCUUUCUAAUGAAAGGUUCUGAUUGGUUUCAUUGAUAACUUUGAAAUUUCUCUGCAUACAUUCACAAUGUUGGCAGAAAAUAUUCUGGUCUUUGCUUGGAGAAAAAUCUAAUGGAGGAUCUGAG
Molecule: long non-coding RNA, 397 nt
Filed under: Olea europaea (common olive)
Lineage: Eukaryota; Viridiplantae; Streptophyta; Magnoliopsida; Lamiales; Oleaceae
Description: long non-coding RNA (OEUR_LNC001922)
Source: RNAcentral